AGUGAACGCUGGCGGCGUGCCUAAUACAUGCAAGUCGAACGGAGAUUAAGUAGCUUGCUAUUUAAUCUUAGUGGCGCACGGGCGAGUAAUAUAUAGCUAACUUGCCCAUUACUAAGGGACAACAGUUGGAAACGACUGCUAAUACCUUAUACUCCGUAUCUAUAUAAGUAGAUACGGGAAAGUUUUUCGGUAAUGGAUAGGGCUAUAUCGUAUCAGCUAGUUGGUAAGGUAAUGGCUUACCAAGGCUAUGACGCGUAACUGGUCUGAGAGGAUGAUCAGUCACACUGGAACUGAGACACGGUCCAGACUCCUACGGGAGGCAGCAGUAGGGAAUAUUGCUCAAUGGGGGAAACCCUGAAGCAGCAACGCCGCGUGGAGGAUGACACUUUUCGGAGCGUAAACUCCUUUUCUUGGGAAAGAAUUAUGACGGUACCCAAGGAAUAAGCACCGGCUAACUCCGUG
Molecule: ribosomal RNA, 462 nt
Filed under: uncultured bacterium
Lineage: Bacteria
Description: partial 16S ribosomal RNA
Rfam family: Bacterial small subunit ribosomal RNA
Source: RNAcentral